UCUACACAGAUCGCGAAAGUUUUAUCUCGCUGAUUCUUCUCGAACUGGCGACACUUCGCGAAAUAAGGAGGGAACGCAUUCAAGCAAAGAUAACCGUCGACCGACUUUCUUGUUGUUAUAAAGCACUUACAUGUUUCCAAAGGUGUAAACGGUUUGGUUGCUAGUGAAAUGUGGGACAUUGCGAAUCAUCACUUGUCAAUUUCGUUUUCACUUGUAUCGUCAGCGAGGGAAGCUAAAGAGUCGAACACGUUAUGUGGUUCGAGUAAAAUGGUCGAUUCGAAUGCAAACCGCAUAGAAUUGAAUAAUGGUCACUGCACCAAGUCGCGGGCACGAAGGGGUUAAUGGUUCGGCCGUUCGUUGGACAGUACUUGAACAGCGAAGGAAAAGGCGUUGCUUCCCGUGUUACGGCACUGCGUAUUCCUUGCUCGGUUUUGCGCAAUCCAAUCGCAACGCGAAAAGAAGAAGCGGCUGGAUGAGGUCAGCGGAUUUCAUUUCGUCAACGAAAUUAUUUUAGAAAUUAUGGUAGCGCAGUGAAUCCUCUGUUACUUGAAUUUUCGUUGAUGACAUAGAGCCUCGAAUUCAUUCGAUUUAUGUUAGAGAAGAUCUUGGACACUUCAGGGAUGAAUUAAUUUGUUCUAAUAAACAAAACUUGAAACUAUGAUAUUGGCUAUUGAGAAAUUCAAUUAUGAAUAUUUUAGAAAAUAACGCGAUGAUGGGUUUGCAAGUGAAUUCAUGUGCAUUGAUACUGUAGAUAAAUAUGUAUCAUAUCAAUGUUUUCGACUUGAAAAGUUAAACCGUGUUUAAGUUAAACAAUUUAUUAACCGUGAUUCGUUAAAUAGAAAUUAGAAUUUUACUUAUAAGCUGAAACCAGGGAUUCGAACCGCUGCUGAACCCUAACCCAAACCCGGUUAAUGAAGGGAAAUUUACUGUAAUCCAUACUAACCACGAAGGAACGGUUCUUGAAUUGUAGGAAGAGCGGGUUAACCUGCUCGGAGUGGGUUACUAGUAGAAGAAGACAUCCUAGACAUCCAGACAAGUCAAAGAUAUGUGAACUUACAGGCAAUAUUAAAAUCAAACGAAACUAGAUUGUUUAAAAUGUACGAGUAUAUAAUGAAUGUAGGACACACACGUUCACUACACGUUCUAAGGCAAGACUGACGAAUGUUUAUCAUUCGCCUGGUUGUCACAGUUGCUAGUGUUGGGGUUCCCAGAAAACUCAUAACAUGUCCGGUCAAAAUAGGGAUUCCUUCAAGUGACUGUUUAUGCCAAUACAUGUACUAUUCGUCCGCAAGAAGAGGGCUGGCCAAGUGUUUACGUCCCCGUUCUGCUACAUAAGUACAGUAAACGAGUAGUAAAUACGAGUAAAUGUAAGCAGACAAUAUUGAAAUAAAAUUGGUUACCGUUUAGAAACAUGGUAAUAACUAUGGUUUUUAAUGUAUUAUUAUAACGCGCAUACAACCAAGUUAACCGGGUUACUCGGGUUACAGAUGUCUUGUGUUACCUGGUUAGAUGGGUUAUUCUAUAAUACGAAAUACCGGAACCCGGUACGGGUUAGGGUUCGAAUCCUUGACUGAAACUAAAUUUCACGAUCAAAGAAUAGAAUUUGAUCUGUGUAGCUAUUCAAACAAAUAAACCCUACCUUUUAAUCCGCCAUAAAUAAUUCGAAUACAAUUUUACCUAUCUCUGGUCGUCAUCCUCAUGGGAGAAUAAUAAUUUCCCUUUAUUCCGACAACCCAGAAGCAGUAACAGUAAACAUAGAAGAUAAGGAAAUACUCCAGCAUAGAUACAAUUGCGGUGGUACAAAGGAGAUUUUAUUGUCGAUGCGAAUCUAAUCUCCCGAUGUAUCAAGAAGUAUGCGUAUUUUGUGGGAUUCUCGAACGUUCUGGAAACACAGGAAACACAGGAGAUCAUUGUUAUUCGUACGAAUACGUCCAAGGAACCUUGAAUAAUGAAAGUCAAACAAUUAUGGGCACGCGAUAUAAUGAUGAUUCGUCGGUAAGCUGAAUUAACAAUCUGCGCAGAAUACUUUGAGGGGAAAGUUGCCAAGUUCUGGAGAUGUGUCAAACUAUUCAUUUUUUUUUUUUUAUAAAAUUGCAGUGGGAAUUUCGAAUGCAUAUUUAUUAAUUGUUUUUAUCAGGUUAUUUAGAAUGUAUAAAUAGUGUCGAGGAGUUAAUAAAAAUGUUCUACAUCUCGGAACUAAGGCAAAGAUCUGGUGAAUAUGCAAAUUCUUUGUACCUGAGAUACAGUUGCUUUAAAUGUGAUUUAAUUGUAAUAGAUCAAUUACGUUAAAAGAA
Long non-coding RNA from Hylaeus volcanicus, 2294 nucleotides. RefSeq lists it as uncharacterized. The record is from RefSeq and is a predicted model, not a curated record. The transcript is spliced from 3 exons. Lineage: Eukaryota; Metazoa; Arthropoda; Insecta; Hymenoptera; Colletidae.